This 30-nucleotide non-coding RNA is filed under the name Mus musculus (house mouse). The record is from RNAcentral. Lineage: Eukaryota; Metazoa; Chordata; Mammalia; Rodentia; Muridae.
UGCAAAGGGUAUGUGAUGGCAACUCCAGGU